CCUUUCUUAGGUGGAAUUAGCGCAUGGUGGGAGGCGUUCAUCAGAUGAUUCCCGGGGUGGUUUCAAUGGUGGUGGCCGUGGUGGUGGUCGUGGCCGCGGUGAUGGCCGUGGCGAUGGUGGUAGUCGUGGGCCAUCUAGGAGAUCAGAGUUUCGUGGUAAGCAAUCUUGGAAUUAGCAUUAUUUGGUCCAAAGUUGUAGGAAUAGUCUCUAAUUUUUUUUUUUCCCACCAUAGUUCUGGUGACAGGCUUGCCUUCAUCUGCUUCUUGGCAAGAUCUUAAGGUGAGUACACACUGGUGGAUAAUGAACUUCUCAUUUUCCCUUAUAUCUUCAAAGGUUUCUGAAUUACAACACGAAUCACUUUCCUGUAGGAUCACAUGCGCAAAGGAGGGGAUGUCUGUUUCUCACAAGUGUACCGUGAUGGUAGAGGUAAGUGUCCGCAUAUAAUCUUGUGCCUCUAAAUCUAGUUGAAAGAAUUAAGUCUUGGACAAUCAUAUUUGUAGGUACAACUGGAGUUGUGGAUUACACCUGCUAUGAGGACAUGAAGUAUGCGGUGAGAUAUAUUCCCUGUUGCUGUUCUGUGGUUUAGACUUUGUUGUAGUACUCCUUAAUUACUAAUUUUUUCUUAUUCUUCAAUUUCCCCAGGUGAAAAAGCUCGAUGACACAGAGUUUCGAAACGCGUUUUCGCAUGGAUAUGUUCGGGUUCGUUGAAAGCUGAGUUUCCUGUGAAUUGUGAUCUUUUCAUUUUUGCGUUUUAAAUUCAGUUUUCUGUAUCUAUUUAGGUUAGAGAAUAUGAUUCGAGGAAGGAUUCUAGGAGCCCUAGCCGGGGAAGAUCCUAUUCUAGGAGUCGCAGCCGCAGCCGUGGGCGGAGCUUGAGCCGAAGCAGGAGUAGGAGCAGGAGUCCAAAGGCAAAGUCUUCACGUAGGUCGCCUGCAAAAUCUACCUCGAGAUCUCCUGGUCCCCGCUCGAAGUCAAGGUCACUGUCUCCAAGAAGGUAAUGUUUGUUAUCCCUUUUUCAAAUUGCAUCAGGUUACAUUUCUUAUUCAGUAGAUUUUUCCUGUGAAGUUAAUAAAAAAUCUGAUUUGAAAAGUCAUUGUUGAUGACUCCAAAGUUCCUUGUUGAUUGAGCAUGUAAUGUUUUGAGACGGUAGCCAUUAUUGUCCUUCCUACUCCAUCCCUAUAUAUAAAUGUUUAUACCCCAUUUCUGGUUGAGAUUUCGAGAUUAACCUUGCAGUUUUAGUCUGAUGUUUGCUUUCCUGAGUAGAAUAUGGUUUUGUUUCAUAGAUAUGGAUUUACAUACAAUCGACUAGAAAAUGGAAAUUAAUAUCUGGAUGGAAAUUCUUGGUUGUUCACAAGUGUUUCGACUCAGAGGUAUGGGAAAAUUUGGAUUAGAGACUUUGUUUUAUCUGGCUUUCUUAUCUAGUAUAGUAGUAUUCACUAAUUUCCGUUGCUGCUAGAUGAAUAACAAUGGAGACAUUGGAUCACAAUAUUAUAUCGGGAUUUCAGUAAAACUAAAUUGGCACGAUGGAUGAUGACAAUAUGGAAUCUCGGUUCUCUUGGGACGUCCAUGGCACAUUUUGCUACAAAAAAUUGUUAUGCCACAUGGUUUUGAAUAAUCUUCUUUGUUUUACCCUAAGUAGGGGUGUUGAUUGGUUUAAGUUACUUUUUUGUUUGGGUUCAAUUUCUUGAUCUCUAUAAGAUAGAAGAGGCAUCAAGGACCAUAGUGAACGUUACCUAACAGAAUAAAGUGUUUGGAUUUUUGAAUCUGGGUAUAUUAUUUUGGACUUUUGCAGAUCUCGUUCAAGAUCAAGAUCAAGAUCAAAAUCUCCUCUACCUCCUGUGAGUAACAAGAUCCAAAUUUUAACCCCUCGUUUAAUAUGACAUUAGUUCUGUUUUACAUUGUUUGUUAUCUUAAUAACUUUCUGUAUCGCAGGUUCAGAAGGAAGCAAGCAAGAGCCCGAGCAAGCCAAGCCCAGCCAAGAGCCCUAUGAACACAAGGAGUCCAUCGAGGUGCAUAUUCUAUCUUAGAAAUGAAUAUAGCUAAUCUAAUUUUGAUGCCUAGUGUGUAAAUCUAAACCUGAGCUCUUGUUGGCAGGUAAAAUGUGAGAUAUCCAGGUAAAGAAACAGAGAAGAGAAGCAUCUUUCUUGCUUGGGGCAAAAAAUCUGCUUAUUUUUGAAGUGGAUCAUAUCUUAACGCUUAUUAGUUACUGAAGCAGAGUGAGACAAGUUUUGGGAGUGAUGUUUUGUAAUAUUCUUCUUGCCUUAAAACAUGUUCAGGAUCCAUUACUUUGUUGAAUGAUGUUUUUAUCGAAGAUAUCCUCUAAUAUUCUUCUUCCGAUUUAUCCUUUUAAUAAAUUAACGACGUCUGUGUAGCUGGACCUUUAGGGACCAGUGAAUUCUGGAGACGGCUCCUUGCAGAGGAAUUAACGCCCCCUGGAUUUAAGUGUUUGCUGUGAUUGUGUGGCUCCGAACAAAGAGACUAACGCGAAGGAAUCAAACAGUGGCAUUUUGAAAGCUAAUGUUGCUUCGUAUCUUCCUUUUAUUGGUCGACGUUUUGAACUUGAACACUUCUUCAUCAAACUUGUCAAAAAGACUGGUCCCAACGUAGAGACAGACAAUGGAACUUUCGUGUUUCAAUUAAAUUUCUCCACCUUAAAUAGAUAUAUAAUACCACAUGGGUUGAUCACCGUUCAUAAUUGUAUUUGCUUGCUUAAUUAUUGACAAAACCAGAGAGAAAGAUGAAAAUGUUGAACAACAGUCUCAUGCUCCUUCCUCUCCUGGCGUUGGCUUUUGCAGCAGUCUCGUCCCUCCAAUACAGUAGACAUGACUUCCCUCCAGACUUUGUCUUUGGCUCUGGCACAUCAGCUUUUCAGGUUCUUUAAAACCUUUUCCUGAAUCAUUGCUGCGACAUGUUAUAAAAGAGUGUUUAGUUCACAUGAUUUACAACAGGUGGAAGGAGCUGCCAACGAAGACGGGCGAACUCCUAGCAUUUGGGAUGUUUUAGCUCAUGCCGGUUUGAUUUCUUUGCUUGCUCAUAGACUCAUAAUUUAACCAAGAAUGGUAUUCAUAAGCUCAACUGUCAUUGUAGGACACUCCGGAGUAGUAGCUGGAGAUGUUGCAUGUGACCAGUAUCACAAAUACAAGGUCCCGAAACUUUCUCAUCUAGAGUAUUUACUAUAACAUAUCUCUCUGUCUCCGUCUCUGUUCGUCCAGUGUGACAGAUGGAAAUUUGAUAUAGUAACAAAUUCAGACAGUAACAUUGCUUGGAUGUUGCAGGAAGAUGUGAAGCUCAUGGCAGACAUAGGAUUGGAGGCUUACAGAUUUUCCAUAUCAUGGUCAAGGCUUUUACCAAGUAUGGUUGUCCACAUAUUGAUUGAGAAUUUAAUCGAAGCAUUUUCAAUAUGAAAGCUUUACAGUUUAGAUAUUUGGAGUUUAUUUCAGGUGGAAGAGAACCAGUUAAUCCCAAGGGUCUACAAUACUACAACAAUCUUAUAGAUGAAUUGAUCUCUCAUGGUUAGAUUUGUAGCCUGAGCCUUUUUAGUUAGCUAUAUAUAUAAUACCUACGAAGCUAAGUCUUCUUGGAUCAGCUUUUCAUAUUUUUUAAUGAUUGCUUUUGACUAAGCAGGAAUCCAGCCACACGUUACAUUGCACCACUUUGAUCUUCCACAGACCCUAGAAGAUGAAUAUGGAGGUUGGCUCAGCCAAGAAAGCGUGUAUGACUCUUCUCCUUUCAUCUAAUUGAAUAUUCUGACUGGUGAUAUCAAACUGAGUUAUCAAUCUUCUUGUAAUGGUUGUAGGAGAGACUUCACAGCUUAUGCAGAUACUUGCUUUAAGGAGUUUGGAGAUAGAGUGUUACACUGGACUACUAUAAAUGAGGCCAAUGUGUUUGCCCUUGGAGGGUAUGACCAGGGUGUAUCACCGCCUGCUCGAUGCUCUCCUCCAUUUGGAUCCAAUUGUUCCCAUGGAAACUCUUCAAUUGAACCUUACAUUGUCGUACACAAUCUGUUGCUUGCACACGCUUCUGCAACAAACUUAUACAAGAAACAGUACAAGGUUCUUCUCUCUGCUUUUAAAUUUUCUGUCUUUCGUAUGCAUUGCAUUGUCUUUAGCUCAGCCAGUAUCUCCUCUUCAUUCAUUACACAGUACAAGCAACAUGGAUCAGUAGGCAUUAGCGUAUACGCGUACGGUACUGUCCCUUUAACUGACUCUGUGGAGGAUAAGCAGGCAACAGCUAGAGUGAAUGACUUCUACAUUGGUUGGUAUGUCUAAAAGUUAAGAUUCCAAUUUAUGGAUGUUAACAUAUAUUUUGAUUGUUGAGUUUCUUAAUUGAUUCGGUUUUCGAAAGGAUAUUACAUCCGCUGGUGUUUGGGGAUUAUCCUGAGACGAUGAGGACCAACGUUGGGUCAAGAUUGCCAGUUUUUACAAAGGAGGAGUCAGAACAAGUUAAGGGCGCGUUUGAUUUCGUAGGAGUGAUAAAUUACUUGGCAGUUUACGUCAAGGACAACUCUUCCUCUCUGAAACCAAAUCCUCAGGAUUUGAUCACAGACACGGCCGCGGAACUGACCGGUAAGUUACAUAGAUUAUAUGAAUCAUACAGUCUGAAAAAAUUAAAGCUAAAAUCCUGAAAAAAGUAUAAAUAUCUAGUUAUAUAUGGCUCACUCUGGUUUCUCCAAUUUGCGGUUGCAGUGUUUGGAAACACAUCGCUCGAGAAUGAGGUUUUGUAUGUAGAUAUCAAUUUCAUAUGUGAUCACUUAAAAGAGACUACAAGAUUAAUGUUUGAUGAUUUACUUCCUCCAGCAUGCAAACGCACCAUGGAGUCUGCAACAAAUACUUUUGCAUAUCAAAGAAUCUUAUGAAAACCCUCCGGUCUACAUCUUAGAGAAUGGUCUUUCUCUCUCUCUCUCUGUCUCUCAGAUUUUUGCUAGUUUGCUACUUCAUGUGGCUUAAACCUCUCUCCCUCUCUGGUGAUUGAUUUUUCAUUUACAGGUCAGGUGACUUCUCACAACUCAUCACUUGAGGACACAACGAGGAUUGAGUAUCUGAGCUCAUACAUUGAAGCAGUGCUUCAUUCACUCAGGUAACAGUAAAAGGGUAGAACAGUUUCACUCAAUGAUUUGUGCCAGACAUAUUCUAAGUAUAAAAGAUCACAUAGCAGGAAAGGAUCGAACGUAAAAGGCUACUUUCAGUGGUCGUUGAUGGAUGUGUUUGAGAUAUUUGGUGGGUUCGAGAAGAGCUAUGGAUUAUAUUACGUGGACUUCAAGGAUCCUUAUCUCAAGAGGAUCCCUAAACUCUCUGCUCACUGGUACUCUUCCUUGCUCAUGGGAACACUGCACCAGCCAUCGCAUGCUUCAUCUUGAUCAUUCGAUUUCAUAUAGCCUAAUCAAUCAAUCAAUAUACAUAUAUAACCAAUAUAUGUUAAAAAUAGGUGUUGUUAUAUAGUUACUUUGAUCGAAGAGGAUGGAUUAGUUCAAUACAAUUCCAAGUUCAUUGGUCAUGACAAUUCUUUAUUAUUUCUAUACUAAAAAUCGAUCUAUGGGAUUAACAUAAGAGCUGGAAUUGGCGUGUUUGACCUAGAUAUCGCGUACGAAGCAAAGACAUGACACAUUCGUAUAAAAGCCAUACUAAUAACUUUUUAUUCUUUAAGUGUCUUUUGCAUUUCAAUUACGCAAGAGACGAUUGCUUUCUUGUCAAACAGUAAAGCUUAGGCAUUCAAAUGUAUUUAACUUGUUUAUUACACAUUGUAGGAAUAUUUUUAAUUGGAAUUUACGAUAUGAUUGUAUGCAUAUGUUGCUAACCGUGUAAUACCAAAAUCCUUGACUAACUUGUAUUUUUUGUUUUAACUUUUGAAAACUUCAAUUCUCCCACUGGCCACUGGGGCUAGAAAUGAUUACAGCCAGUGGAAUUGAAUAAAACAAAUGACCACUUGAGCAGACAAAUGAAUGGGUGUGCCACUUUAUCUUGGAGAUUUUUUUUGUUUGUCAAUUGAUAUUUUGUAACUUUAAUUUUUUUAAAAGAGAGUAAAUAGUGUAAUGAAUAGAAACGUUCAAACCAGAGCCAGAUGAAAAAUCAUGACAUUAUAUGUCAAUCACAUUACCUCAUUAUCAAGUAACAAUACAAUUUGUAUAGCUUAGGCUUUUGAAAAACAAAAUAAAAGCUAAAGCAAGGGUUUAAGUAGAUGCAUGCAUCACACUAUUACAGCAUUGAAAUAAAGAUAAAGUAAAUUAAAGUUUGAAGUUAAAUUUUCUUUGCAACUUGAUUGAUGAGCAUCUUCGUCGACACAUUUUUUUUUUUGAAAAGCAAAAGAGCAUAUCCCUAGGCCCUAGCUCUAAUUAUGUUUUGUGUAAGAUAUAAAAGAAUCACAUUCUUUUAGGGAAUAAAACUACGUAGAGUGUUAGUUAAAUUAAACUUGAAAAUAAAAAUCCGAAGCAAAACAAAGUUGUAUAUAAUUAAUUAAUCAAGUAGUGACAAAAGAAGACAGUGGGGGUGAUUGGUGAAGAAAUAUGUUUUAGUGCCAAAAUCAUAUUGUCAGUAACAAAGGGUCGUAAAGCUAAAAAUAAACAAAAGUGGCGGCGUGAAAUUGAUAAAAGCUAGGUUUUGGUGGCGAAAUCCAAAUACAUAUAAACUUAUAAGAAGAAAAGAAACUGUAUUGUAUUCUUGCUUACUAUUUCUAAAAGUUUAUAAUUUUGACCCCACAAAGAAAAAAAAUCCCAAAAAGGGUCCAUUUGUGGUGGCAUCUUUAUCUUUUUGUUUUGUUGAAAAAAUCAUUAUAAUUAUAUAUAUUAUCUUAAACUACAUAUCAUGGAUUAUAUUUUUUUCCAUCAACUUCUUCCACCAUGCAUGGAAGUAAAAUUUUCACUGUUUUUUUUUACUAAUUAACAACAAGAAUCCCCAUAAGGUAAAUUUUCUUUGUGCUUUUAAUAAUAUAUGACACUAAUCUAAGAUAUUUCCAGCAAAUGAUCUUUCCUAAAUGAUAAAAUAUAUUUCAGUUCUACUAAUCUAAAAUAUAUUCAUUCAACCAAUGGGAUAAAGAUAAAAACUCAGACAUAAGCAUCCACGCGGCAUUAAGUGGGGUGAUGUACAACAAAUAUGCUCAUUAAAAUUUUUAUAAACAAAUCUUUUUACUAACGAGUCUGCCUUAAAUGUCAAAUAAAAAUAAACAAGUCACUGAAAUAAAUGAAUCUAUCAAUUGGUCAAAUCUUUUUUUGUUUUGCACUUAAUUAUAGUAAAUAUAUUUCCAUAACACAAAAGACUUCGCCUUUUAUGUAAAACCAACUUAGAUUUGUUCCCCAUAAAAAUAAAUAACGUUUUGACUUUUUUUCUUUUGGUUGCUUUCUCUUAUUUUUGUUUUCACAAGUUGUUUAUUUCCGCCGACCUCACCAGUCACAUCCUUCUUCGUUUAUUCAUAAAUACGUCUCUGUUCUGUUUUUUUUCUUGGGUGUUCCAUAUACAUACAUACAUAUGAUAAAGCCAACACGAGACGCAAUAUAUAGAGAGAGAAGAGAUAAGAGCGACGAGACAACAAAAUUUGUAACCCUUUUGAUUUGUUAUCUUGAUCAAUUGAGUGCUCAAUUUUGUUGAUGGUCAUCUAAGAAGAAUCGUAUCCUUUCUCUGUUGUUGAUGGUCAUCUAAAAUUUAUAUCCUUUAAAAAGUGAUUCUGCGUUGUGAGAAAAGAUGAAGUUUUGUAAGAAGUAUGAAGAGUACAUGCAAGGGCAGAAGGAGAAGAAGAAUCUUCCUGGCGUUGGCUUUAAGAAGCUCAAGAAGAUUCUCAAGAGAUGCAGAAGAAACCAUGUCGUCCCUUCUUCUUCUUCCUCGAGGAUGGCUUUUACUCAAGUAAUUGAUCAGCACAAUUGUCCUCGUGGAUGCCCAGGUACUGUUCGACAUAAUUCCCCUGUGCACUUCUUGAGAUUUUGAAUUACCAGAUAUAUAUAUAUAUACAUAUAGAGAGAGAGUGUGUUUUUGAUUUUGGUGGAUUUGUGUUUCCUAGUUUGUGAUGGAACUUUUUUCCCGGAGCUUCUCAAGGAGAUGGAAGACGUCGUUGGAUGGUUUAACGAGAAUGCUCAGAAGCUUCUUGAGCUACAUUUAGCUUCUGGUUUCUCAAAGUGUCUCACUUGGUUCAAAGGCAAUACUCGAAAAAAGGAUCAUCUUGGUUUGAUCCAAGAAGGCAAAGACUUGGUUAAUUACGCUCUCAUCAAUGCCGUCGCCAUUAGAAAAAUCCUCAAGAAAUAUGAUAAGGUAUAUUCUACUCUUAACACCCGCUUGUAUCCAUUAAAGAUCCCAAAUUUGAACUCUUGUUAUUCAAUAUAUGUUCUGCAUCUUUGUCCUGCAGAUUCAUGAGUCUAGGCAAGGACAAUUGUUUAAGACACAAGUCCAGAAGAUGCGAAUCGAAAUCCUGCAAUCACCAUGGCUCUGUGAGCUUAUGGCGUUUCACAUCAAUCUGAAAGAAUCUCAGAAGGGAUCUAAAACUGCUGUGGCUUCUCCUACUCCUGUUCAUGCAUUGUUUGAUGGCUGCUCUUUGACGUUCAAUGAUGGGAAGCCUUUACUCUCCUGCGAGCUCUCUGAUUCCGUAAAAGUUGACAUUGACUUGACUUGUUCAAUAUGCCUGGUAAGCAACUUAACAUGACUCCAAAGAAUCUCAAUGUCAAAUAACUGUUAGUUGACUUAUUAGUAAUCUGGAAUUUACAAGAUAUAUUAUCAGCCUAUAGGGAUAAAGUCUUAGUUUUGUCGUGUCAAGGUGCUAUUCCACUCUCCUCUUGUAGAAUUCCGUUUCAAAGACUAAGUCUUUUUUCUAGCAUGUGUGAUCUUCUUUCUUAAUGUAAUACUUUGAAUAAAUCUUCGACUUACUGAAUUACACUUGAUGGCGAAAAACAGGACACGGUGUUUGAUCCGAUAUCUCUAACAUGCGGUCACAUAUAUUGCUACAUGUGUGCUUGCUCUGCUGCAUCAGUAAACGUAAUUGAUGGCUUGAAAACCGCAGAGCUAACUGAAAAAUGUCCGCUUUGCCGUGAGGUUAGACACAUUCUCCAGAGCUAAUCUACUAAACUUCAUGCUCUUUGUUUCAUGCUCUUUAAGUCUUAAUCCUUGUUUUUCGUCCAUUUGAUAUCAGGAUGGGGUUUAUAAAGGUGCUGUGCAUCUGGAUGAGCUCAAUAUCUUACUUAAGCGAAGGUAAAUAUAUGCAUAUACAACCAAUCUUAUUAUAGUCUUUGAAACCUGCCUCUUUAAGUUUUGAAAGUAUCUGUGGAGAAAACUAAAUUUCUAAACCAUCAUAAUUGCAGCUGCAGAGAGAAUUGGGAAGAACGGCGUAAAACAGAGAGAGCAGAAAGGUUACAGCAGGCAAAGGAGUACUGGGAUUACCAAUGCCGAAGCUUCACUGGAAUAUAAUAUGACUUGCUAUAUAUGUGAUUUCUCAAGUGAGAAAUACUUUGGAGAUUCUUCGUUUUGAUAAAGCUCUUCUAAGACUAGAUGUUAAUCGUGAUUUGUUUUCCUCUGUGAGUAUGUGUUUAUUUGCACAGUGGAGGUUGACGGUUAGUGAAAAUUUGAAAACUCUUUGCAGCGUUUCUCUAUAUUAUUAGUUUGCAUAUGAUUUUGAUAGAAUAAAAGGAACUUCCCAACUGAAUCAAAUUCUUGAAAAACGAGAUUUUAGAUUAAAAGGAACUUGAUAACAGUUGUAGUGUUGUUGCAAAUUAUAACAAAAAUGACAGAUAAUACAAAGAUUUUAUAUCACGAUGAUCAUAUCAUCAUGGAACUAAAAUCGGGUUCUUAUCUUUGUAAAUCUGAUAUCUUGUGCAUAGCUUUCGUAGUGUCCCAAUAGAAUGCUGCAUAGAGUUUAGCUUUCUGUCUCGGUACAUGCCCUGUUCAAACAAAAAAGAAGUUAGAAUAAGAAUCACACAGAGGAAAACCAAAUAAAAUGGUAAAAUCAGUUAUAGCUAAUAGAUCCAAACCUCAAAGUCAUCUCCAUGUUUCUCCACCAAACGUCUUAUAUGUGUGCGUUGCAUAGUCGUGAGCGGCUGUAAAGGAGCACUCUUUCCAUCUUUUCUUUGCUUCCCCAAAGCUGUCUUAAGGUCUACACAUCUCAGAACAAAGCAAUUUGGACAAUUAAUUACCAAAACAAUCUGCUUUUAACAACCAGGUAGAUAUAUCUAUCAAGGUGAAAAAUAUCCAAAAGCUAGUGAAGCAGAUUCUUGCUUACUACCAGUUGCAUAUAAGCUUGUGCAAGUCUUCCAACAAUGGCAUAACUAUAUGUUGAUGAUUAGCUGAAUGUUUUGUAAACUAAUGUUGUAAACUUUACACAAGCACGUAGAGAGAAUGAUGUUCGUAGGCAUAGUAACUUUCCCCCAAAUUUGUCACUCUAAACCCUAAAUUUCAAAUUUUCUCAAUAGCGAUUUUCAACAAGAGACUAGUCUGCAGCUAGUCUAUUCUAAAAUCGAAUCGAAACGUACCGUCUUCCUCGAGUUCGCUUCCGGAAUCGAUGGGCUCGAACUCCUUAGCAGUAGGAUCAUCGGUGGAUGGUUCCGGAGGUGGAGGAACGUUGAGGGAAGCAUCCUGGAUCAUAUGGUCGGUGCGAGAUCGAAGCAAAUUAGGGUUAGAGAUGACGCCGAAGGAUCUGUAGUUCUGAAUAACGCUAGCUUGGUCGUCCCAUUCGGGGACAUCGUCCGCCAUGAGAGCGCGGAGCUUGGGAGGGAGAUUGAAAGCUGGCUUGAAGAUAUUAGGGUUUUUCUUGGGAAGAGCUACGCGAACUUUAGCCCUAGAGUUCCUAUACUUUCUUCUCGACCUCGCCAUCUCUCUCUCCCACCGAUUUUUUUUUUCACGAUGAAGAAAGAAGGAAGCGAAAGAGAGGGGUGAAGUUCGCGGCGGAAGGGUUUAACUAACAAGGGUUUUGUUAUACGACGUCGUUUUAUAAGUUAACCUUUUUUUUUUUUUAACAAAUAAUAUUUUAGUUCGUUACCAUUACAGUUUACAGUAAUACACUGUAACUACUUACAUUUCUAGUCUAAUAAUAAUAUAUCCGAUCAAAUUGUUCAAUUUUAAAUGAAACAAUGCUUGCGAUAUAGACUUUAUUGUGCUCUUCGAGUCCUCUUUUUUGCUUUUUUGAAUAUUCUGUGAACAAAGGCCAAUAAAUUAUUGCAUCUUUAGAAAAUCAAUCUUUUGAUUUUUUGUGUCGCUCUCGGGUCCUUCUUUCUCCUACUUUUAUUGUGAAAUGAAAAUGCAACUAAUAAUUUACUACUUCAGAGUGAAGCAAAACAUCUAAUAUAAAAGAGUAUGUAACACUAAAACCAACCACCAUUUUCUUUUUUUGGUCCAUAGGUUGAGUUGCUAUUCCCUUUUAGUUAAUUGAAAACAAAACAACAAAGGACUUGUAAAUAAACGCAAGUUUUCUUGGUUAAAAAACACCCACCAUGGGCCUUCUUCAGUUCUUUUUCUUCUAUCUUCUUCUUCUUCACGUCCACACUUCAUUCACUUUCGCUACAAUAUUUUUAAGUUUCAGUAAGAAAACCCCAGAAUCCUUUAUGAUUAGAGAAAUCUGAACGUUAUCAGAUACAAUAUAGCUUGCCUUGGAUACCAUGGUUUGGACCACACUCCCUUAGAAGAAACCGAGCAUUCGCAGGCAACCAGUCCAACAACUGCUUAAGAAAACAAAGGCAGAAAGGUCAAAAUUAGGCAAACAAAACAGACUGUGAGCAACCAGUCCAACAACUGCUUAAGAAAACAAAGGCAGAAAGGUCAAAAUUAGGCAAACAAAACAGACUGUGAGCAACCACAAAAUGUAUUAAUACAAGUCCAUCAGGUUUGGCUAGGAUGCUUGACUACCUUCCGCUUGUGUGGCCAACUAGUAACAUGAGUGGUAAAAUUUUCAAACCCUUGGCCAUGAUGAUUGUCGGAGCAUACCGAGCAAAUCCAGAAGGCAGAUUCACUCGUUUCACUGCACUUAUCCUCCUCAAGUGCUCCCGAAUCUGUGGAAAAAUAUAUAAAAAUUGCCAGUUAGUUGACCAAAAGAUUGUAGCCGGUAUUGCUGUUUCUUGCAACAACACCGUUAGAGAGGACAAACACACCUGCCCGGAAAAAGCCUUCAAAAGACCGAUGUUACAGCUCCGAAGUCUUUCUCAUGAGGCUCAGUUAGAGGUGAGCUUAAGCAUUGGAGUUGCUUACCUGCCAGGAAAUUAAAGACAACAUGGGGUACAAUUUUGGACAAACAAAACUAGAAGAAGACAGAAUGGUAAACUACUUGAGGUAAGAGGUUUCUCAAUUCGUUUGACUCAAAACAAAACAAUGAUUACCUUCUGUUGAUGGUAUGUACCAGAGAGAUGCUUGGUGAUACAAAGAAAGUCUGUAUUAGGAGCACUACGGUAAUUGCAUACUGAGCAGAAGAAACUGGCAAGUUCACCAGGUGGACUGCUCUGAGCCUCCUCAAGUGCCCCUGAGUCUAUGGAAAAAAAUAAAAGUAGUCAGGUGAACAGCAUGUUAUUUAGAAAACAAUGCAAGUGAGGACAAACACAUACCUGGCCGAAAAAACCAUUGAAGAGAAUCAUAGGGAAAAUGCUGCACAAGGUUGCAUCUCCCUGGUAGAUAGGUUGCAGGAUAAGCAAAGAUUUUGGCAUUGGAUAUGACCAUUACGUUAAGUAGAGGACCACUAUUAUUGAAAAGCUCAGAAACGAACUCCACAGUGUCUGAGGGACCUGUUUAAGAAACUAAAGAUUUGAGACUCUAUUCAAGGAAAACAUCCAUUAUUGUAGAAAGGACUAAGGAUGAGAAGAUAUUAACCGUAUGGGACAUUAUGAAGACCGAUUCCAGUGAUAUAGACUUUUCCCAGAAUGUCUUCAGGAACGUCUGUUAGAACGCCAAUGGCAAUGAUUUUGACAUGACCAAAGUAGCCUUUUUUAAACAAGAAAUGUCUGAUGUGCAGACUGACCAUCCUAGCAUCAAAACCAGGGGGAACUGGACACGUAUUGAUGUCCCAAACGACAAUUGUGUCAUGAGUCCUCUUUACAUCCUCCCAGCAUAAUCUAUUAUCAGGUGGUAGAACGUUUGUCAGCUUCAGACUUUUUUUGACCGGCGAAUUCACCUCCAGUGGAGAAAAAACAACAUGGGGUCAGAAUUAAGCAAACAAAGCUAAAAUUUUAGAAAUUAAAACAAGAAUUUGGUGGCAUCCUCACCUUGACAGUGUCAACUGGAAGAGGAGGCGCAGUAUUCCUAGCCUCCAUUUCCUUGAAGGACAAAUGACCAUGGAGUCAAAACAAGGAAGUGACUAGUAGUGGCAAUGAGAAAAUGUAUUGAUACAAUGCUAGGAUGAUUACCAUGGAGCGAUGAAAGUUUCGAAGAUGUUCUUCACAAGAUAGAUGAGCGAUGAGAUUAUCAAAGCUUUGUUGAGGAGGAUCACGGGCGCAUACAAAGCAAUCCCACAAGGCAGAUUCCCCUGUUUUCUCCUCAAGUGCGUUUAAAUCUGUGGGAAAAAUAUAUAGGCAGUUGAUACAGAUACAUUUGUGGGUUCUUUCAUCAAAGAAGACAGUGAGAGAGAACAAACACAUACCUAAGCUGUCAAAAGAAUAAAAUGGAAACGGCUCGAGAGGGUUAUAGCCAAACAUUUUUAGAACCCUAAAAAAACCAGGGUAGGCGUCUUUGGCAGAUAUGGCCAUAAAAUUAGCUGGAGUUGGAUUUGUAUCUACGAGGUCUGAAAUGUCUAAGUGACCUGUUUGAUAAAUCUAAAGGCAUGAGACAUAAGAUCAACUAUAUUAGAAGAAAGGAAUAAUUAAGGAUGAGAAAAGAUACUAACAGGGGGUGACGAUGGAAAGAGAGAUUCCACUGGAAUAGACUUGUCUCAGGAUCUCAGUAGGUACGUCGGAUAGUUUGCCAAAGGCAGUGACGGUGAGAGGACCACGGUAGCCAUUCCUAUCCAAAAACCGCCUAAUACACGGAAGGACCAGACCAGGAUUUAAGCCAUCGGGAACCGGACACUUCAUGAUGUCCCAAAAGACCGUUGUUGCAGCCCUAGCCUCCUCCUCCGUAGCCUGAUCCAUCAUUCACGAGACGACCCUUCAAAUAAAACCGCACUAUUCAGAUUGACAGAGAGAUUGGAACACGGCCGGAAUCGUUUCCGAUGUAUUUUCAAAGGAGACAGUGAGAACAGGAGCGAGAAAUUUACCUGUGAAAUAAGUUGGAUCUCGAAAUCGAAUACGAUGGUUAGGGUUUCGAAAUUCCUGACGGAGGAAACCUUUUUGUCCCGUAUAUAUUUAUAUAUAUAUGGGGAGGCUAGAUAGGUUUGAGAAUGGGCUUUAUUUUCAUGAGCUAACAGUUUAUAUGAUUCGGCCUUUGUGCAAAGGAUCCUAUAUAUGCUUUUUUUUCCUACAACUGGAGAGAUAGAUUAACACAUACGGAUAUUUCGUCAUUCUCUGAAUUAAGGACUUCAAUCACGACGACAUAUCCCCCUUUUGUCGAUAGUAUAAAGACUAAUAUAAUGGUUACCAAUAUACUGUAGUUUUAUCAAAACUUAAAAUGAAAAAAAAAUCGUUUCAUCUUCUCCACAUCUCCUUUUAUGAUACAGGAAAGGAGAUAAGAAGAGUGGCACGUGAGAAGGAAACAAGGUGCUAGACACGUGGGAGAACUUUAUUGGCCUGAAAGAAAAGAAUACUUAGAUCGAGGAGAGGCGUAUAAAGGAGAGAAAAAGAUCAGCUGUGAAGAUAGAACCAGAAAAGUAUCAAUUUGUGUAAUCUUCUUCGUCUUCGAUUCUCUCUGUAAAAUCUUAGGGUAUGGCAUUUCAUUGUUGCCAGAGCUGAUUCUACUUCUAAGCUCUAUCACAUAAGACUUGGACUCUCGUUUCAUGAACGACAAUUUAAUUUAUCGAUUCAAUUGUUCUUUUUAAACAAACUAAAAUUUAUAUUAAUCGUCGCUUAAUCUCCAUCGAAAGAGAAGGUGUUCCAAACCAAAGACAACAAUGCCAAAAUGGCUAGAAGUACUGUUGCUAUUAGAGCAAAACACAUUACGCACAAAACAUGGAUAGGAGCAAACACUACAUUUAAUCCACUAAAAUCUAUGAAGGAGAGGGAGGAGGAUAGAUAGGGUUGAGAAUAGGCCUACAGUUUGUAUGAAUCGGCCUUAUAUCAUACCCAAUCCAUCUUAUCCUAUAGCUGGGACUGAAAUUGUAACAAAUGCAAAUUUAACAAUCUGAAGUUCGGCUGUAGACGCAAAGGUAACAACGCACCGAAUGUGUGAGCCUUUUGAUAGAAUGAGCAUCGAAGUGUUUGAAACAUUCGACAACAAACUCCUUGCAACAACACCACUCGAACCAAAGCGGACAAGUUGAGAGAGAUAUUACUUGCGUGAGAAAGAGAAUUCGAAACCCUUAGCUUGAAAUAAUAAUCAAAUCAAAUCNNNNNNNNNNNNNNNNNNNNNNNNNNNNNNNNNNNNNNNNNNNNNNNNNNNNNNNNNNNNNNNNNNNNNNNNNNNNNNNNNNNNNNNNNNNNNNNNNNNNNNNNNNNNNNNNNNNNNNNNNNNNNNNNNNNNNNNNNNNNNNNNNNNNNNNNNNNNNNNNNNNNNNNUAAAUAAAAGUAGCCAACAACAUCCAAUCACUUUUAUUUUGUUGUUAUGACAAAACCAAAGAAAUAAUAUCAUAAAAAAGCAACUCGUGUUCCAAAAACGACAGUACUGGUACAACCAAGUAAUUACUUCGUGCAACAAAACAAUGUUGAGGUUAUUCCAUUCAUCUGGAAUAUAUCAUAGUAGCUCUAUACUAAGAGCAACAAUAUUGGGGUAUCUUAGAUGUUGGUCUAAGUGUCUUAUUUUUUUAACAGCGCCUACGGUGUAUUGUUUUCUAGCGGAAGUCCUGUUUUCUUGAUAGAUAUAGUCCAGAGAAGAUCUGAAUCCGAUUCGACUGUGAUCUUCUCUUCUUUAACCAAGUUUGAUGUGCUUAUCAACCCACCAAAUCUCAUCUCAGUGUUGCCUUUUAAGACAAUUAUAACAAACAGAUAUAAACAAUAGUUGUUAGAUUCGACCUGGUGAUGCUGAUGAAGAUUAUGAUGAUGCAAAAUCAUUACUUACUGAGAUCCCAUUUAAGCCCUGAGGUUGUGGUUUUGGCAGAAGGAGUUCCAAUAGGGAUGAGUCCACAGUGAGGACCUUCAAGUGAAGACUGAAUGUGUAAUUCAUGUAGAUGGUUCUUUGGAAGGAGUUGGAUGAGGCAGUCAUCAGAUAAAAGGACUAUCCUUGUGUCUGGAUAUCGAUACAAGACGUUGAGAUUACCAGCUUCAUGAUCAAAUCUUCCCCCGAGUGCUCCAGUGGCAAGAAUCUGGAACUGGCAGAGGAAAUAAAGAAAAAGGUGCAAAACAUUCAAGAGAAGACAAAGAAAAAGCAGAGAGCUUUAUUGAAAGAUGAACUUACUCUAGAACUCUCUAGAUUGGAAGCAGAGUCACGGAUAUACAAAAUGCACUUAUCAAGAUCUGUGGUAUCCUGAUCAUGAGAUUCAUCUAUGACCUGGGUACCCUGAAAAGGCACAAACAAAAGUAUAAGAAAUCAAAAGCAUAGCAAAGUAAGAUCAAACAAACACUGUGAUGGAUUUGGGAUAAAGAUUCUUGAAAGGCAAGGAAUAUAUGUAAAAUCGGACGAUAAGCUUACCAAGCUCACAUAAAAGUCGAGGACAUCACGGCGAAUAGAAUCCAUAUCUCCCUUGAUCACAUCAGGCUUAUACCUGAAAUAGUUUUGUUCUAUGUAUAAACAAUCUAAUCUAAAACAUAAGUGAACAAGGAGAAUAUAAGAAGACUCUUGUACAAAACAAUCUCCAGCUUAAAAUUGAGGCACUUUCAGUGGGGGAGGCUAAACAAAUAGUGUCAUCUGUACAGAUAUAUAUAUAUAUAUAUAUGCAAAGAAAUGAAGAUGAGAAUUAAAUGGAGAACCUGUUUCGGAUGGAGGAAGCGUCUUCAUGAGGGAAGAAGAGAGGUAACUCGUCGUAGAUGCGAUUAGCGCCACCAUCAGCACAGAGACGAAGUGUUGCUGUUCUAUACAGAAAUCGAAACCAAAAAAAUUGUAAGAGAAAAAAAAGCAAAAAACCCCUAAAUUCAAACAGAGUUGUAGAAAGAGCGUGAGAAGAAGGUACCAUGUUCCCAGAGAAGAGGAGUGAAUCGUGGCAGAUUCUGGUUAAGAACAACGAGAGCGUAUCUCGUUUCCUCGGCUGGAUUGUAAGGAAGGAGAAAGCUUGAAGAGUGAACCAUUACAUCCAUCGCUAUAAGAAGAAAACACAAAGUAGAUAACUAAAAGGAACCAUCUUUUGCAUCUGAAAAGGCAGAGAUACACUUUAAGAAGGCUUCAGAGAAGUAAAUGUAAGACUAAAAAGCAUUGUUACAAAGCCAAGAAACAUGUCCAAGUGUCUAAAUAACUACAUAACACCAAGAGACUUGUACUAUACUAACUCACACAAAAGAAACUGCAGUUGAGAAAUUGAGAACACGUACCAAGUUCAAGUUGUUUGAUCCGAGCCUUUAGAAUCUCAUUCUCACCUAAAUUAAGAUCCAUAUAUCUUGUAUCUGCAGAAAGAUCAAAACUUUGAAAAAAAAGUUGAGAACUUUACUGGAAAUUUACAGACUUUUGAGCAGAUGUGAUGCUUAGAAGAUAUAGAAAACAAAACCCAGAACUCAUAAAAUCGAAAAGCAUUCAAAUGAAACCCUGAAAUUAGCCAUGGAUUUAGGGAAGAGACAAUUCGGAUAUGAAUCGCAAAAAGGUUGAAAUUGAGACAAAGCACGAUUAGGGAGAAAGUGUUUGUACCUUUUUCUUCUUCGAAAUUGACUCCUUUCGUCAGAUUAUAUGUUCGCUGGAUAUAUUCUGUAAUUUUUAUGUUUACACUUUACAACCACGAAAAUAAUUAUUGUCUAUAAGAAAAUGUUUUUAAUUUUUUUUAAUUACAGAUGUUAUUUAUAAAAAAGGAAAUUUUGUAAAAGAUAUAUAUAGUACUCAUAUUUUCUGUUGUCAGAAAAAUAAGCAAAAUUAUUUAUAACUGAUAAUAUAACUAUUUCGAUUUAUCUAUCGUGGUUUAAAUAUUUAACAACAUUAGUGGUAAAUACGAUUUGUCUCUUUUUAUUUUUCUCUAAAUUUUUAAUUAUAACAAAAUCUUAACAACGAAAAUUUGAAAAUCGAAAAUAAAAUUAAAGUAUAGCCUUGCUUGGCUUAAUAAUAUAAUAGACGGUAUAUAGAAUUAUAAAAAAAAAAUCAUAAACACAAAUCUAGAGGUGUAAAUAAAAGGCACUGCACCGUCACCGCCGAAGCGGCCAAACGUUGACUUUUCAAAGAUGGCCACGUCUCAAUCUCAUUCUGUCAGUUGUUUCAAUUAUUUAACAUUAUUACCGUUUCCGGCAUACGUACGUGACUUGCUUUUUCCUAACCACGAAAAGGUGUGUAACCUUUUUUUUUUUUUUUUUUAGUUUGAUUUUUAUAGUUUGUUGUUUGGGCUGUUCUUUUUUAUUGACGAUAUUCUCUGUAGCUGCCCACAUAAGUAGGAUCAUCAACGUCACAAGUAAAGGCAGACUUUAUCUUACAUUUGUAUUCAUUCAGUCGCAACUCUAUAGAAACAGCAAAUUCAUUUCAACUUGUAGAGACAGAGCACAACUUAUUAUUUGAUAUAAUGUGAACCGUUGGCGUCACUUUCAAUUGUAUUUAUUAUUAUUGUACGAUCGAUUCCACUUGCUUCCUUCUUUUGUCUCUUUCCCUCAACUCAACCCAUCAACCCAUCAUCCCAAUCGUAUAAUUUCACAAUGACCAAGCCAUUUCAGCCAAAAAUAACAAAUAAAAGAGGGGUGUUUUCUGAAGAAAUCAAUUAAAUUAGAAAUUAAACCAUCUCCAAAAUCCCUAUAUAUACAUAGAAACAUCAUCAUAUAACUUACAUCAAGCAAUGUAAAAAUAAAUAUAUUGUACAUCUCUCAUCUUUUUGAUGAUGUUUUAUGAUUGGAGAAAGAAAAGAAUUGAGGAGGGAGGGACUCCCAAACAAAACCAUUUUUAAACAAUUCAAGAGGACUCUCUCUCUCUCUCUCUCUCUCUCUCUCUCUCUCUCUCUCUCUCUCUCUCUCUCUCUCUCUCUCUCUCUCUUUCGAAGGAGAGAGAGAUAUAUAAAUUAAUAAUAUUCAUAAAUGAAAAAAAAAACACAACCUCUCUUUUUUCUUCUUCUUUCUCAUGUUUACAUGAAGUAGCUCAGUGAUGUCUUCUUCCUCGAUCCUCCUUCUCCAUACAGCUCGUUCCAUUGCUGAAGCUCGUUCAUGUUCGAUGAAUCAGACGACACACUCGCACAUACCUAUAGCAACAACAACAACAAAAUAAAACUUUCCAUUUAAAAUCCCAAAAUUUGUGGACUUAAACGCUGACACUAUGAUUUCUUUGUGUUUUCAUUUUCUCUCAAACCUGAUCAUGUGCAGCUUUGAAAUCAUUCAUCGACAAGGGUCUAACGUCUGUACUGCUAUAUAACUUAGGUACUGGUCGGUUUUCCGCUUCAGCCACACUUCUCUCCUGCGAUUCAACAAAACCACAUGACUUCCUGUUUUUAAUUCAUCGAAAACCACAUAUCAACACCCAUUUCUGUUUUUAAAACAGAAACCAAACCUUCUUUUCUUUUUCCAAAAUCUCUCGGAUAGGAAGAUGUGCCGCCGUCACACAAAGAUUCUGCAAAACCCAAACCAUUGUUGUUUAGAAUGUGGUUUUUAUGAAAACGGAUUUUUCAGGUUUAUUGCUUUGGAUGGAGGAAAACUACAGACCUUUAAGUCACUCCCGGAGUACCCAUCUGUCAUAUUUGCUAUAGCUUCUAAAUCUACAUCUUGCGCCAUCUCUUCUUUCGCCAAUAUUACGUUCAAGAUCUUCGAUCUGUUUGCUGAAUCAGGGAGAUUAACCAUCAACCUGCACAGACGAUCAAGAUCUAAGCGAUGCUUCGAAGAUGAUGACAGACACACAGAAAGCAGAGAAUUACACAAGGUUUACUACCUUCGGGGAAGCCGUCUAAUUACUGCUUCGUCAAGGUCGAAUGGUCUGUUGGUAGCAGCCAGUACUAAAACUCUUUCUUUAUCCUUUGUGCGUAAGCCGUCCCAGUUUAUCAUGAAUUCGUUCUUCAUUUUACGCAUAGCUUCAUGCUCUCCUGGAUUCUCACGUCUUCCUAACAUGCUAUCAACCUAAAACAUUUUGUUCCCGUUCAAAAGUUAAUCAGAAGGAAACAGAAAAUGUAAGGCGGUGGAGAGCUGUUCUUAACGUCAUGCGACAUACCUCAUCAACAAAAAUGACGCUUGGAGCUAUCUUACUUGCUAAUGAGAAAACAGCUUUAACAUACUUCUCUCCCUCGCCAAACCACUGCAAGAAAUCUAGAUGUCAAGUCUAAUCUCAAAGGAUAUACUACAGAGUCAGGAUGCCGUUUCAAGUAAUAAAUACCUUUGAAGUAAUGCUGGACAUUGAAAUAUUGAUAAAGUUCGCACCAGCCUCAGUUGCUACUGCCUUUGCCAGCAUUGUCUUCCCCGUACCAGGCGGUCCAAACAACAGUAUACCCUUUGUAGGCUGCAUGAAGAAAACAGUUAAAAUUCAGUUUCCAGAGAUGGAGUGAAACAGAUAUUUGAAAAACUAGUAGCUACCUUUGUAAGCUGGCCUUUGCCAAACAACUCAGGUCUUUGUAGAGGAAGCAUCACUAACUCCUUCAAGGUGUCUUUAACAUUUUCCAAAGCCCCGAUAUCACUAAAAGAUACACCGAUAUCACUUGGAGGAAUGACAUCUGAUAGGAGUUUUUUCUCGAAUUCAUUCUCAGUAACAACAUCCUAUAUUAAUAAAGUAACUGUUAAAAUUCCAAAAGUCAAUUGGGAGGCAAAGUAGCAUCAGAUUUAUGAUUAUUACUUUGAGAGAUUUCUUUGUGCUCUUGUGUUCGUUUUGAAUUUCGUGUAACAACUUCAGGCUAGAUGUGAUGCUGCAACACACACCAAAGGGUUAUUUGCAAGAAAAUUUCACAACCGCAAUCCUCAUGAUCUAUAUUUCAGUAUCGAAGGAUCACCUUUCUGCCGAGAUUAUAAGCUUAUUGUCUAUGACCGCGGGUUCUGAGCAGUUCCUAAGAUGGUAGCCGUAAGCCCAGCCAACCACUUUCUCCACACCUAUUAAUCAUAGGUGAGUUAACAAAUAAUCGAAUAGUUCAAAAUAAUAGUCAAGGAAAAAUGUUAAAGAUGCCUACUAUCAGAAGGAAGGGUUUGAUCUUUGAUGCACAAAGUUUCAAGGUCAGGGCAUACUAGAUGGUUUUUGCUUAGGACCUGCAAGAACCAAUAACAGCGACAUAAAGAAAUAAUCACACACACACACACACAACAACAACAAAAUAUACAAGAGCAUAUAGAUAGACAAGGGAUUUCACUGAAAGAUGCUUACUGCACGGAUGCUGGUAAUAUUAGCUUGAGCCUUCAGGAUCGCUGUGUCACGUUCAAGUUUAUCCUUCCAUUCCACCAGCAAAGCUUCAUCCUUUAAUGUUUUAAGAACGAAAGAUAAUGAAAUUAGAAAAGAAACAAAUGGCUCUAGACCACUAAAAAGGAGCAAAAAGGCUCAAACUCAAACCUCAGGUAACUGGAUGGCCACUUUGUUAGGAAAUAGCCUCGUGAUCUGUUUCACUGAUUUAGGCAUUUCUUUGUUCCUGUCCUGCAGUCUACCACCAAAAUUAUCCUGCAGAUGCCAUGAAAAAUCUCUUUCCAUAUUUUAUCUAAUUUAGUGAGUAUCUUUACGAUACAUUAUCCUUAGCUGAUUACAGACUAUUCUUCUCUUUUUUCUUUUCCCAUUCUGUAUUUCUUUUCCUCUACCCAUUCUUCCUAUUUGUUCCUAUUCUUUUUNNNNNNNNNNNNNNNNNNNNNNNNNNNNNNNNNNNNNNNNNNNNNNNNNNNNNNNNNNNNNNNNNNNNNNNNNNNNNNNNNNNNNNNNNNNNNNNNNNNNAGAGAGAGAGAGAGAGAAUGUAAUUUUUGCAUACGUGUAUAUGGUGCAUUGUCACAUGCCAGUUACAAUUCAGAAAAAAGAUUAGAUGGAAAGUAUUAGAUAUGAGUAGGGUUUUCAUACAGGAAAUGCAAGAUCCAGCAAUGCUGUCUGGUUGCUGCCAAACUUUGUGAACAGGAAACCUCCAGGGUGGGACUGAAAAUGAUAUAUCAAACAAUCAAAUUAACCAUUUUGAGGAACUUAAGAAGAUUAAGACAGCCUAAGAAAAGAGGUAAAAUAGAAUCUUACUUUUUCCUUUCGGCUGUCCGACUGGGUUUGUGAGGCUAUGACAACAAUAUUCUCAGGUAAAUUCUCCAGUUUGUUCUUCAAAGUUAUAUACACAUCACUGUUCCCAGACACAGAUUUGUCAAUGUCUUUCAGGAACAGUAUCAAUGACCCUCUUUCACUUUCAUUAAAAGCCACCUACAAUAUCAUUUAAAAGGGAGUAAAGGGUUUCUGUAGCUACAAGAACUAAGUAAUAUUAUUUGUAGUUUAUAGAUAGGCAACAAAAAGUGGUAAGAACUACCUCAAAGAUUUCAUUAAUCGCAAGUUUAUCAGUAUCAUCACUGGACGAACUUUCUAACCGAAGUGAACUCGCUGCAUACGAAGAAUGUCAUUGCUACAAUAACUUUUAAAUGCAAAUCUGUAGAUACUAGCACGGAAAUUUACCUGUACAAAAAAAACCAUGGUCCUCUUCACAUAGACCACCAAGAUCAUUGCCAUCUGGUACCGUUUUAUCAAAUCUAACCCCGAUCUUUGAAGAUCCAUUGUCUUCAAAGGCAAGGAGUACUUUUCCCUGGAAACCUAUUGCCGGUCCCCUAGAAAGAAUAGCACGGAAAGAAAAAAACUGAGUUUUAAUAACAAUCUACAUCAGAUUAAAAUAAUAGAAUAAAAACAACGAAGAAUACCUAGGUGGAGCAUGGAGAGAAGCAAGUGCAGAAUUCAAAUGACCAACAUACUUUACUCGAUCACCUACGAAUUAUAGAAAUGCUUGUUCAGUAACAGAGAGAGUGGCACAACAACAGAACUGAAAAAUAAGACAUAAGUAACCAUACCUGCUUUAAAGGUGUAACUUUUCGAGCUUGCAGUUGACACUUCUUGCCUCGGAAUUGCCUGAGAACUCACUGUUGAUCCACCUGUUAUAUCAGCCUCAACACUUGACGUUGGUUUCUUAUGCUGCAAAACAGCAGCAUGUGCAGCAACCUGUACAGCUCGUUUAGCAAACACAGACAGUCUUUCACGCCUAGUACUUUCUUUGGUUGAAUCUGCUUCCUUGGCUGUCAAUCCCUGAAGCCAUCCAGAAACAGUAAAGAGUCAAUGAAACAGAUUGCCAGGACAUACCACUUCUACAAAUUUCGAACCAAUAGUCAAAAGUGCCUAUUUAAUCCCAAUACGCUCACUUUUUUAUAGACAUAAAAUAUGUUACGAAUAUGCAUAAAAUCAAACACUCAAUAAGAAAAAGGAAAAGAAUGGGAGUUUACCCCAGGUAACAAGAGAGAGUCAACAAUCAUUAAUUUGACCCCAAAUUUUUUCGCAAGCGCUUUUGCCAACAUUUCCUGAUAUAUCUCAGAGCCUUCAAAUAUUCCACAUGAGAAUUUUGUUAGAAAAAUGAAAAUGAGGAACCAAAGAAUAAUGACAAAACUUGUUCAGAGGGUCCCUCAUACCAGCUGGUCCAGAUAGCAAGAUGCGGGGGCACGAUGUUGUCAAGUCUGAUCCAAACUUUAUAUACUUGCUUUCACACUUCAUAUGGGCAUAUGUCGAUGUUAUCAAAACAUCCUUAGUUAUGCCACUGUGACAAUUCAGAAGUUAUUGAUCCAAAAUUUAUAUACUUUUCCAUCUUGCAAGAGAAAAGUAUAAUAGAAAUGUAAUAUAAAUUAUUAGUACUACUGACCUUAAGUAAUAUGGAAAGUUCUCAAACGAAAUGUCUAUGUCCUGAGGAUUGAGUACCCCUCCCUGCAGACUAUCCUUAAGUGCUUGACGUCUAGUUGAUACCAAAGCUGAUGGACGGUCAUAUUCUUUCGGCAUUUCCCUCACUUCACUUCGAUCAUCCACCAGUAUUUUGGAAAUGCUACUCCUUAAAUCAAAUUCAGAAGGAUCCCCAAGUAAGCUCAAAAUUGGACGAACUUCAAAACCAGAGGGAGGAAUAUUUCCAAAUUCAGCUUCUUGAAAUGGAUCGAUUCCAUUUCCAUCUGCAUUCUGUUCAUCGUUGGCAGCACAAGAGGUUGAAGCAACAGUUUUCUCCGUUGAAGCUAUAGCAGCAUGAUCAUUAUUAUUAUCAGCAUCGUUCAUGUCAACAUCCGGAAUACAAUCAUUGCAGCCAGAAGGUAGCACAGGAACCUCUGAAUUUUGCUGCCUUUUGACACUUUUAGCAGUAGGUGGUAGAAAAGGGACAUUAUGUAACUUUGAUAUAGAAGCCAAUAAAGAGUCCCCAUCAACAGGUGAAGAGUCGCCUGCUCUCGUCUCAACAUGAAGCCCUUUCAGAGGGGCACUCUGAUUUUCAAAAAAGCUCAAUGAAGAAGCUCUGUCUGAAGCAGCUAGAUUCUCAUCUUUAAGAGGCUGAAAUAUCUGAAGACUUGUCAAGAAAAAAAAAGGAUAACCCCUGAAUAGAAAUAAUACAAACCUCAUAUAUAGAUAUAUCACAGCAAAAAUAAAAAUUAUAUAAUCCUUAAUUAUGGAACGUGGAUAACUUUCCAGAUCACUUUUGAAAGGAUACAUAAGCAUGUUUCCCAUGGGUACUGAAGACAACUUCGUCGCCACCCCGCAAAUGAAUACAAGAAGUCCUUUGGUAAAUCUUGCCAUUGACCUGAACAAGUAGACUAUUCCCUAUUAUCUCCAGCGAGGCAACUGAUGGACCACCGUGCUACAAAAAGGACAUUAUUAGUAAAAGACUUUUUGUCCCUUGGGCUAGUAGAAGACCAAUCGGAUAGUGUCCUUACCUCAGACUGUCUAAAUUCACACAGAACGGUGGGCAUUGUAUGAUCUUUGAUACAUAAAUCGCAUCCUCGCCGACCAACAGUAAAGACAGAGCCUCUCAUGACACGAUGAGGGUUCUGAAAUUGCGUAUAAAGGAAUAUUAGCCAUAAAACUCUGGAAACUACAGCAAGCUUACAGUAACCCACGGUCUCCAACUACAAGAGAAGUAGACCUUCUUCUGCAACAUGCGGCUGGAAAGAAAAAAAGAAACUAAACUGCUAUACAAAAACCAGGAACGCUAGUUCACAAUUCCUACUAAUCCGCUACUAUAUCACCAUAUAUUAACAUUUCAACACCAAACACACCAAAGUUUUCCCUUCUAAAACCAGUGAAGAGAAAAAACGCCCAGUUGAUCAAAUACUGUACAUUGUCAGAAACUGCUCCGCAGCAACCCAUAAUACCAACAUAUGUCCAUGACAAUAAACCCGAAAGCCACAAACUUUACUAAAUUCCCCGAUCGCAGACAGCUAAAACCCACUAGGCUCAGAAUUUGAGAAACAUGCAAACAAUAUAUAAAGCAAACAGAAGCAAAAUAACAGACCUGAGAACAUUGAGAGAUAAGCUUGGCCCAAGGAGCCUUAGCAGUCCGCUUCUUUGAAGAUUUCGAUUUUUCAGCUUCGACCACUACAUCACAUGAACAACCAAAAGACAUGAGGAAAAAAGAGAUAAAACUUGUAGUCAUGAAAAAGAGAGAACAUGCAACAUGCGAACCUGCAGGGGUGGGCGUCACCAAGCCUUCAACUUCUGGAAUUGUGUCGGUCUCCAUGGCCGGCACAUCGGCGGUAGUGACUGGCCUCUCGGCACCAUUAGUCUGCGGAUCAGGAGUUCUCCGUUCCGGCUCUCCAGAUUCCGAUCCAGGAUCCGAAACCGGCCCACGAUUUUCAACCGGCACCUCACUCGCCGAAGAAGAAGCAGCCGGUUCCGCCGCAGCCUAAACCGGAAGAAGAAGAAGGAAAAAAAUCAACACAAAUCGAAAAAAUAAAAAAAACCCCAGAUUUCAAAAUCCGGAAUUGAUCAAACCCAAUCGUCGGCAUCUCCAAAAAUUGGGCAGGAAGAUUAACCUUGGAUCGUUUGGUAGGACGUGAGGAUGAAGAAGUUGUUUCGGGGGAAGAAGCAGGAAGGCGCUUGGAAGCAGAGGAGCUACGUCUCGUCUCAACCAUAUCUCUUGUUCUUGAACGCCGCCGUCUCCACCGCUUGAUCCAAAGAAGAGAGACGCUUCCAGAGAAAGAGAAAGAAGACAGAGAGAGAUUUCGCAAGAGAAGAAGAACGAAAGAAAUAACUUUUACUGCAAAGGUCUCUCUUUGUUUUUAUCUCUCAAUAUCUUAUACUAGUGUGUAUCUCAUAAACUUCCUCUAAUCUUUAUUCUUCCUCUUAUUUAAAUUUAUAAAGUGCGUAUCUGCACAUAUUUAAUAUUUUUCCUUUUUCCUUUUUUGUUUCCCAUAUUUCUCAAACUUAACAUUUUCUCUAAUUAUUUUUAGUCACUCAUAUUAAUUAAAAACGACAAAAAAAAAAGAAGAGUAAAUUAAAAAUAACAAAAUAAAAAGCACCCACUUGAGCUGUUUUGACUAAAUUUGGUUUAGAUAUUUGAAGGAAGUAAUUAGAUUCUUCUCUUCAGUUGCUUGCAGUAAUGGUAUGUAGUACAGCUUUAAGAAUGUUUGGUUGUCUGCCUAUAUAACGCUAUGUAUUUGUUUUAAAAACUCCUAUGUUGGUUUUGUUGUUCUCCCUUUCAGGGUUCCAAGUCCAUAACAUGGAUUCAAAGAAUGUUAUCACGGAUGGACCUAAGGAAUACGCUAUCAUUGUCAUAACCAAUUUCUUACGAUCCGUUUGGUUCAAUUCGAUAAUGAUUUUCAUUUGGUUCAAACUUCAAAAAAUAUGCGUUGAUUUAAAGCAAAAAUAAUAAUCGUCAACUUUUAUAUUCCAGCAAACGCGCCCGCCGAGAGUUGAUAGUUGUUAAGGGUUAGGUUGAGAGUUGGUGAUCACUUGUGUGUUACACAACUUUCACACUUAAUAUUUUAAACUGGUUNNNNNNNNNNNNNNNNNNNNNNNNNNNNNNNNNNNNNNNNNNNNNNNNNNNNNNNNNNNNNNNNNNNNNNNNNNNNNNNNNNNNNNNNNNNNNNNNNNNNNNNNNNNNNNNNNNNNNNNNNNNNNNNNNNNNNNNNNNNNNNNNNNNNNNNNNNNNNNNNNNNNNNNNNNNNNNNNNNNNNNNNNNNNNNNNNNNNNNNNNNNNNNNNNNNNNNNNNNNNNNNNNNNNNNNNNNNNNNNNNNNNNNNNNNNNNNNNNNNNNNNNNNNNNNNNNNNNNNNNNNNNNNNNNNNNNNNNNNNNNNNNNNNNNNNNNNNNNNNNNNNNNNNNNNNNNNNNNNNNNNAAAACAUAAAUGAAGAAGAUAGAUAGUUUUUCUUCUUUGUGUACGUGCGUAGUGGGUUCUAAUUAACUCCUGCAACGAGCAAUUUUGCUGCAACCACGACUGUAAGGAUUAGCUUGAGCUCCGUUCUGACAGUUGUAAUAAGACGCACCUCUUCUUGAACAAGGCACGCUGUUCUUUUUUAACGAUUGAUAGCUUAUGUAUUUUGUGGUCGCCAAUACUCUUCUACUGAUCUCCGAGUCCAUUUCUUCUUCCUCUGCCCCGAUACACUCUGCUAUUGAACCGUGGCAACCUGAGCCGCCAUGGACUCCGCUCGUGGCCCACUCCAGGCCGUCGAGGUCAUUGGUGAAGCCGGCUUGAAUCCGAGGUGAAGAGAUGAUCACGAUGAAGAGGAUGAGUAUCACAAGGGUUGGGAAGAGGGUAAAAGACUUGGCCAUUUUUUGUUGGUCUUUCUUGGGGUUUCUUGUAUUGUGUUACCCCAUUCUUCCUUAGGUUAAUGUUUUUAUAUACAUGGACAUGGUGAGUGCGUAGACUCAGUUUUUGUUUUUUGUUAGUGGUUGAAGCUUUCUUUUUUUAUUAAGAUAAAAUGAAAAUCUGAAAUUCAAUACUCAAUAGAAUGAGGAAAUGUUUUUUGAUCGAAAUUAGUAACGUUUUUUUUUUCUGUUUUAAAAUUUAACGAGCUUCGAUUUGAAGAGGUAUCUUUUUGUAGAUUAAAUUUUUAAAAUUUGAAAAAAAUAUUAUUUAUGUAUUUGCGAUAUAUAUUAACAGAAAUGCCCCUUGACAAUGAAAGUUGAAAAUAUUAUACAAAAUUAAUGAUUAAUAUAAUGGAGAAUUGUUGAGAGUGGUUGAAUAUUUGUUAAACCCGACACUAGUUGAACCAAAACGAUUUGGGUGCAUUUGAGCGGUCAAAUCGUUUCUCAUUAUCCAUUUGACUUUUCAUAAUCAACAUUAUCAUUUGUUUAAUGAUCUGAAAGCACUGAAUCUAGAUGACAUAAUAAAUUUAAUUUGUUUUGUUCAUUAAUACGUGGAUGCAAAAUUACUCUUCUUCGACCAAUAUCAAUUAGUUUUUUUUUUUUUUUUGGUAAAUUAUGUUACUAUAACGAAGAGUCUUCUUGGUAUUAAGCACCAACUAUUUUUUUAACUACUGAGUUUCAAAUAUAUAUAGAAACAACUAUCAUGGUUCGCUUUGUUAAAAAGAGAAAGAAAACAUACGUACAGUAUAUCGAAACAACGAAAGCUUGAUUCGUUUUCCCUUGUCAACAACAACAACCGUAAAAUACAUGAGAGUUGGGACAUCGUUAUCCCAACAAAACAUAUAAAGAAACCUAACCCCCUUUUUUAAUUAAAAACAAAAAACUAAAACUAAAAUAUAAUCUAGAAUUGUUAUUAGACAAGCACUUUCAAAUAAAAUCGUGUUUUAAAUUGAUAAUGUAAUCCUUCAUAUUUGUUCUGUCUCCCCGAAUCAGUAUCAAAACGCGUUUCAUAAUCUUUUGAUCCAUAGGAUAGGACCGCUCGUGUCAUAAGAAGUUAAAAAAAAAGGUAUGAAGAUAUAAGACUAUUAGAAGUUACCUUUUUUUAAGCUUAACCUCACCUUUUUUCUCUCGUUUAAUGACUAUUAGAAGUUACCGAAAACGAUACAAAAUAGUUUUUUUUUUUUUUUCAAUAUAUAAAAAACUUUCUUCACAUACAAGUAACAAUCUCAUGGACUUGUGAACACAAAUACACAAUACAGGCCUUUUCUUCUCCUAUGAGCUCUCUCUCUCUCUCUCACUAGUCUCUUCUAAAGUUUUACUUUUAUGAAGAUGCAAUAUGUAACAAAGCUUCACAGUUUCAUCUUUCUAACUUGCUCAGCACGUCAUCCAUCGGUGGCAACUCCUUCGAUAUCUCUGCCCAAUCUGGCAUCCCCUGAAACAAGAAAAAACAUAGAUAUCACCCAAUGAAUUCAUCAUUCAAGAACACUAAAAGAGCCAGUUUUGCAUCCAGCAUGAGAAACCAAGAGAGGCAAGGUUUCUAGAUGAAACUUACUCUACCCGAUCUGCGGACUCGACCAUCUAACCGCAGUACAAUGUACACGUCAUCACCUGGAUCAACUCCCUCAGAUAUCUGUUGAUCUCUUAUCCACCUGAACCAAACCAAACCAGAGACAAUCUUUAAGACUCAAAAACAAAGUUCCCCUCUCUCUUCUAUCAAACUUUGAUCACCAGAAAAGGCGAUGAAAGUUUCUACCUUUCCCAUUCAUCAGGCGAAACAGUCUCGGCCUUGAACCUGAUUUCACCUUUCAGCUUCGAUUGGGCUACUACCGAUUGAGCCCGUGUAUCAAAAUCUUCCUAUUAUGUUAAGAAAAAUCACUGCUUUGCAAAAUGAGAAUUAAGGUGAAGUGAAUAUUUGUUUGCUUUGUUACAACAAAAAAUCUUUUCGUUACCCCAAUUGAAGGAAGAGAUGUAGCUGCCUUUGAAGAAGCUCCAAAGCCUUUUUUUUCGAUUACUGGUGUUUUACGUUCACCCCAUACCACAGGAACUAAGAGAACACCUCUUCUUAGGAGCUCGGUUCUGAACCUAUCCGCUUUUUGCAUUGCGGCUGUUACAGUCUCUUUUUUCCCAGCCAGAAUAACCUAACAAGAGUGUCAAUCACCUAACCGUUUCAGAAACUUAAAAGGCUAAUUAACACUUGAAGCAGUGUAGCAGGAUCAAAGACUCACUGGUCGAACUGUAUCCCGCAGCUGCACAAGUUCAACAACUCGGUUGGUUGACAGACGUAAUGGCAGCCGGGAAAGAGUUUCGUCUCGAGUUAUUUGAACCAUUUGUUCUUCCUCUUUCUUGUUUUCCCAAAGGAACAAUGAAACCAGAACAACAAUACCUGUACAUUGCUGUUCCUAAAGCUUACUCACAUGACAGAGGAAAAAAUGGAAUUUAAGAUUCAAGUUGUGUUUCUGACUCACCUCCAAUGUUAAUUGCAGCAUUUCCUGUAGUUUCCAGAAGAUCUGGAGCACCAUCGCCGCCUUUAAAUGCCUGAAUCAGUCUUGGUACGGUAAAGAACGUUGAGAUACCUGCUGCUGCAGCAAAUGCAAAAUAAAAGAAUUUUCUAACACCACGAAAUGGUGCUCGUACUUCGCUGAUAAGUUUUAGAUCUCUCCGAAAACUAUCACCAAUAUCUUCUCCGCCUAACCUAGCCUGAAACAAUGGGAAGAAUUUUUCACCAAUGAGAAAGUUCUUCUUGGGAUAAACAAUAACAUAUACAAAAGGAGAGUACAAGACCUCUUCUUGAAGCUCUUUAAACUCGGGUAAUGCACGAAAGGAUGCUAAGUCAGGAUCGUCAAGAAUUGUGGCAAACUUUAGAUUAUAAUCUUUCAAAGCGAUUCUCAAACAAUCAGCAGCUUUAUUUCCUUCGCCCCUACCUCAAGACGAUAAACAAUAGGGAUGAAAUAGAAGAGAGAGAAUAAUAUCAUCAGGAUCUUCCAAAUCGUUGGAUAUAAGGCAGUUUCAUCAGUACAUGGCUCGAGGUUCUUACCGGUAAGCAUGACAACAUGCUUUAUUAUAGUAAGCAGCUUGUGACUCGAUAGGAUUUGGAUUCAAACUCAGUGCUGUCUCAAACUGAACAAGAGCAUCUUUGACCUGAAAGUAUCCAACAUUAUGUAUCAGCUGAAUCAGUUAAAAACAAAAUGUAUUGUCUAAACUUAGGUUAUUCCUCAACAUAGAAUCAGUCACAACAUAAGACUGUUUUGCUGGCCCAAGUAUCCACAUACUGUAACUAGUACAAGCGAUUUGCUAACUUUUUUUCAAAUUUUCACAUACAAACUCCCCAUUAAGAUCAGGAACCUAACCAUCAGAAGGAAAAAAACUCAUCCCAUUUGUUUUGUUAGAAGCUUAUAUUCCAUAAGAUCAACUGGCGAGUGGCAAAAGUAACUAAAUUUUCAUCAAUUUGGUUAAAAAGUUUCACAGAAUCAUACAAAGGUAGCAAUAGGAAACAAGAACAGACAAAAAGGUCAAGCCAUAAAUAAAUAAAAAAUCAAAAAGCGACUGAAACAUAUUCACCUACGCAACACAUUAUUCGAAUCAAACUCUAGAACUUACCCGUCCUCUCUUAAAAAGAUCAAGACCAGUAUUGACGCACGACUCAGCCGUGAGAUCAUCCGUCGGAGAAUUUGGAGAUGGAGGCGAAGACGACGGAGACGGAGAAGAAGAAGAAGAAGCAAAAACUAGGAGAUGAGAAUCCCAGUUCCGGCGAGAAUUAAAAAGAGUAGCAUCUCCUGGUGGUAGCCAUGGGCGUCGUUUCGAGUAAGGGUUCGAGACACGGCGUAGGAAAUGGCGGUUUAGCGACGGAGCUGUAGCCACAGCCAUUCAAUGUUCUCCUGCGAUUCCCAAAUAACCCCCAAACGUUUAUCUUAAAAACGCUUCCUUUUUUUUCCUCUUUUUUAUUUCAGAAAAUAAUAUUGAAUUUCCAACUUCUUCGAAUAUUAUCUAUGAAUUUUUUGUGGGUGCAAAUUAGCCCCAAUAUUGUUAACCUUGAAGCUUGACAUUGUCAUACAAUAUGUUUGGAAUCGAUUAGGAAACAUGAAUUUGGAGUUAGUGUAAUAGUAUUCUAAUAAAUUGUGUCAAUUAAGCUCAUUAAGCUAUAAUUGAUUUGAAACUUAAGUCCUUCAACAGUUUGAAAAUUAUUGAAAGUCAACAGUAAAAUUUUCUUCCUAGCAAUGACAAAACUGAAGUCUGAAGUCAACUUCAAGAAUUGAAAGAGUAAAAGUCAAUAUUCGAGAAUUAAGAUAACAAAGAUAUUUUUUAAUUCAUCAAAGACUCUUUAUUGAAGAUUACAUUCAAAGCAAUCACUCGGUGGCAGAAAACAGAGAGUACACACGAAAAGGAAAACAGAGGAAACACACAAUUAAAAAUAAAACAGAGUUUAAGAGAAUUAGGGCAAUGAGGUCAUCGCCACCUUUAUUCAGUAUUGUGACUUAACAGUUUGAUUCACUUAGAGAACCUUCUGAGCAGAAGGCCUGGAAGUGAUGUCAGCAACCCAAGCACCGACAUGGGGACGCUCGUCGAAGAGUUUCUUAGUUGGAGUACCAAGCAAGUACUGAAUCGCGGGGAUGGUGUGAAGAUCGACCAAAGUGAAGUGAUCAGCAGCCAAGUACUUGGAGUCACCAAGCCUGUGUUCGUAAACAUCGAGGACUUUGGCAAACUUAGCCUCUUCUUCUUCGACAACGGCUUUGUCUGUGGUCAUACCAUACAACGGCUUAAGGACUUGCUCCCAAACAAGCUUUGAAGCAACUGGGUCAAACUCAUGCUUUUCAAUCUCCAUGCCCAUGGCUAUGAUAGCCAUGUUCUUGCCAGGUGCUAGAAGGUCGUUUCCUUUGUCUGAGAAAUUAUGAGCUAUGUAUUGUGUAAUUGCUCUUGAUUCUGCCCAGACAAAAAAUAAAAUAAAAAGGGUUUCAGACGGUUUAUAAUUUAUAGUAUCGCGAGAUUAGGCCUAAAGUUAAGUGUUUUGCUGUUUUACCAAAAAGCUUGAAGUCUCCAUCUUCAAAGGCUGGAACUUUGCCAAAAGGCUGCAAAACAAUCAACAUUCAAGAUUUUCAGACCAAGAUUCACUAGUACAGUAUUCUAAACGAAACAAUCGUUUGUCAUGACCAAAAUGUUUUUAUGUACUCACGUUGCGGGAGAUGAAAGGCUCUUGCUUGUGUUCACCAUCUUUGAGCUCGAUAUGAACGAGCUCAAAGUCGAGAUUUUUCUCGUGGAGAGCGAUGAGAACUCUUCUCGUGGCUAUGGAAGCAGGGUGACCGAAAACUUUGAUUCCUGCCAUUAGUGAGUUAAUGCUGUUUUUAGUGAUAUUAAAAGUAUGAGUAGAGAGAGAGAGAGAGAUCUUUGUGGUUGAUGGGAAGAAAUACACAGAUGUGGAAGUGUAUUUAUACAGCUAAAACAGAGUAAACUUGGUGAAUAAACAAAAACAAAAGAAAAAUCUCGGCGCCACCAAGCUUGAAUACUCUUAUUUUGUUAAAAUGAUUAUUGGUUUUUAAAAAUCUCAAGCUGAGUAAUGUAUGAUUCACCGUUUCUAUUGGUUAAGACUUUGACAGGACGAUAGUAUACAUUAUUUUUUAUUUAUUUUUUAAGUAUGAGAAAAUAUUAACCAUAACGUGAUAAAGACCGCAAGAAAAGUCUUGUAUCUACUAAUCAAAGUUUGACUGACGUUGUUGGGUUCAUGUGGAUCGUUGGAUUAGCCACCGUGAAGCUAUAGACUUUUUUGAGUCGCUCUUUGGAUAUCUAGAACCUUCUCUAGCUUCGCCUUGGUUUCAUUCAUAACCUUAUAGUCCGUUUUUAGACCAUACACAGACUUGAUGGAUUGCUCACAUAUAUGCGAGUGGAUCGAGCUCAGAUACGCAAGUGCAUGAAAACUGGGAUAUGAUCAGAUGGCUGCAUCAAUACUUCAGCAAACAUAUAUAUUAAUAAAAGCGACAAACCUAAGAGGUAACAAACUUGAGAUACAAGUAGCUAAUCGUUAGGUGAUAAUUAACCCUCGUUAUAACUUGCUUACUAGGUCGAUAAAUUUAAACACUUUACUAGUCUAUAAGAUUGUUCAAACUAGGUGGAUUUUAAUAACAGGGUUUAGAGAUUAGAAGACAUAAGUCACAUAAUAGACCAGCUAAAUGGAAACCCUAGUUAAGACCUAAAUAUAUGAAAGACAAGUGUUUAUCUAAUUAGAAGUGAAAAUUUGAAAGGUACACGUUAAGCGUGGCUUCUUCUAGCCAGCGGCUUUGUACUCGAUGGCGAUGGGAUCGUAAGAGAGACCUUUCGCGUGGAGAACGGCGAGAACUCGCCUUGUGUGUUGGUGGAGUUAGGGUACCUAAAAACCUUGUAACCUGCAGUUUUACGACGGAGACGGAGAAGCAGAGGAAGCGAAAACAAGGAGAUGGGAAUCCAAAUUCCGGCGAGAGUUGAAAAGGGUAGCCAUCGAGUUAGGGUUCAAGACGCGGCGGAGUAAAUGGGGGGGGGGUUUAGCGACGGAGCUGUAACCACAGCCAUUCAAUUUUCUUAUACGCUUCCAAGAAAACCCUAACUUUCAUCUUAGAAACCCUUCUUUUUUUGUUUCUUUGUUGCUCUGUUUAUGUCGGUAAAUAAUAUUCAACUUCCAAUCUCUUUGAAUGUUAUCUUGGAACUUUGGUUGGUCUAAAUUACACCCAAAAUAUUAAUUAACAUCGUUGAGGUUUGCCAUCAUCACAGACGGUUUGGACUCAAUUAGGAAAACGAAGUAUAGUGACUGAUGAGUUGCAGAACUAAUUUGGAGUUGGUAUUUGUAUUAUUCUAAUAACUAAAUGUGUUUUUGUCUAAUAAGUAUGAUUUUGCAAAGUUAAGACCUUCAUAAGCAUUUAAAGUCAAUGGUCAAUGUCUUCCUUACAAAGCAAAAAAAUGAAGUCUCAAGUCAGCUUUAAAGAAUUGGAUGAAUAAAAGUCAAUAUUCUAGAAUGAGAUAGCAUUAAUUUAGUAGCUUAACUUGAAGAUAACAAAUAUUUCAUUUUUUUAUUCAUCAAAUACUCUUUAUUGAAGAUUGCAUUCAAACCCAUCACUUAUAGUAGCAGAAAAAAACAGAGUACACGAAAAGAAAAAAACAGAGGAAACACAUACAAAAAGAAAAACAGAGUUUAUGAGAAUUAGGGCAAUGAUGUCAUCGCCACUAUUAUUCAAUCCUGUGAUAGUCAGCUUGAUUCACUUAAAGAACCUUCUGAGCAGAAGGCCUGGAAGUGAUGUCGGCAACCCAAGCACUGACAUGGGUACGCUCGUCGAAGAGCUUCUUAGUUGGAGUACCGAGCAAGUACUGAAUCACAGGGAUGAUGUGAAGAUCAACCAAAGUAAAGUGAUCAGCAGCCAAGUACUUGGAAUCACCAAGCCUGUGUUCGUAAACAUCAAGGACUUUGGCCAACUUAGCCUCUUCUUCUUCAACAACGGCUUUGUCUGUGGUCAUACCAUACAACGGCUUGAGGACUUGCUCCCAAACAAGCUUUGAGCCAACUGGGUCAAACUCAUGCGAUUCGAUUUCGAUGCCCAUGGCUAUGAUCGCCAUGUCCUUUCCAGUUGAGAGAAGGUUGUUUCCUUUGUCUGCGUAAUUAUGAGCUAUGUAUUGUGUAAUUGCUCUUGAUUCUGCCCCAGACAAAAAAUAAAAUAAAAAGGGUUUCAGACACUUUAUAAUUUAUAGUAUUGCGAGAUUAGGCCUAAAGUUAAGUGUUUUUGAUGUUUUACCAAA
This 35486-nucleotide long non-coding RNA is filed under the name Capsella rubella. RNAcentral's name for it is "long non-coding RNA (CRUB_LNC004548)". The record is from RNAcentral. Lineage: Eukaryota; Viridiplantae; Streptophyta; Magnoliopsida; Brassicales; Brassicaceae.